ACGCUAGCUACAGGCUUAACACAUGCAAGUCGAGGGGAAACGGCAUUGAGUGCUUGCACUCUUUGGACGUCGACCGGCGCACGGGUGAGUAACGCGUAUCCAACCUUCCCAUUACUGUGGGAUAACCUGCCGAAAGGCAGACUAAUACCGCAUAGUCUUCGAUGACGGCAUCAGAUUUGAAGUAAAGAUUUAUCGGUAAUGGAUGGGGAUGCGUCUGAUUAGCUUGUUGGCGGGGUAACGGCCCACUAAGGCGACGAUCAGUAGGGGUUCUGAGAGGAAGGUCCCCCACAUUGGAACUGAGACACGGUCCAAACUCCUACGGGAGGCAGCAGUGAGGAAUAUUGGUCAAUGGACGGAAGUCUGAACCAGCCAAGUAGCGUGCAGGAAGACGGCCCUAUGGGUUGUAAACUGCUUUUGUAUGGGGAUAAAGUUAGGGACGUGUCCCUAUUUGCAGGUACCAUACGAAUAAGGACCGGCUAAUUCCGUGCCAGCAGCCGCGGUAAUACGGAAGGUCCAGGCGUUAUCCGGAUUUAUUGGGUUUAAAGGGAGCGUAGGCUGGAGAUUAAGUGUGUUGUGAAAUGUAGACGCUCAACGUCUGAAUUGCAGCGCAUACUGGUUUCCUUGAGUACGCACAACGUUGGCGGAAUUCGUCGUGUAGCGGUGAAAUGCUUAGAUAUGACGAAGAACUCCGAUUGCGAAGGCAGCUGACGGGAGCGCAACUGACGCUUAAGCUCGAAGGUGCGGGUAUCAAACAGGAUUAGAUACCCUGGUAGUCCGCACAGUAAACGAUGGAUGCCCGCUGUUGGUACCUGGUAUCAGCGGCUAAGCGAAAGCAUUAAGCAUCCCACCUGGGGAGUACGCCGGCAACGGUGAAACUCAAAGGAAUUGACGGGGGCCCGCACAAGCGGAGGAACAUGUGGUUUAA
RNAcentral lists this ribosomal RNA (925 nucleotides) under uncultured bacterium. Its description in RNAcentral is "bacterial SSU rRNA". It matches the Rfam family "Bacterial small subunit ribosomal RNA", at positions 33 to 949 of the family's 1533-position model. The record is from RNAcentral.